GAUGAAGAACGUAGUGAAAUGCGAUAAAUAAUGUGAAUUGCAGAAUUCAGUGAAUCAUCGAAUCUUUGAACGCACCUUGCGCCCUUUGGCCAUUCCGAAGGGCAUGCCUGUUUGAGUAUCAUGAACACCUCAACUCUCAUGGCUUGCCAUGAUGAGCUUGGACUUUGGGGGUCUUGCUGGCCUGUGGUCGGCUCCUCUCAAAUGAAUCAGCUUGCCAGUGUUUGGUGGCAUCACAAGUGUGAUAACUAUCUGCGCUCGUGGUUUCCAUCAGAUAACCUCCAGUGAUGGAGGUUCGCUGGGGCUCAUAAAUGUCUCUCCUAAGUGAGGACAGCUCUUUUAAUGUUUGAUCUCAAAUCAGGUAGGACUACCCGCUGAACUUAAGCAUAUCAAUAAGCGGAGGAA
Molecule: unclassified non-coding RNA, 402 nt
Filed under: soil metagenome
Description: partial contains 5.8S ribosomal RNA, internal transcribed spacer 2, and large subunit ribosomal RNA
Rfam family: 5.8S ribosomal RNA (bases 1-121)
Source: RNAcentral